GAAUGAGAGCUUAUGAAUGUGGGGGAGGCGGAGCUUAUGGAGGGGGCGGAGCCACCCAAAGCCCCGCCCACCUGUAGGUGUACAGCCCCGGCCCGGUGCUCCCCGCUCCUCCCCCCGGUGCCCCCCCGCAUGAUUACUUGCCCAUCGCCGUGCUCACCACCCUCUGCUGCUUCUGGCCCACCGGCGUCGUCGCCAUCGUCAAGGCCGUGCAGGUUGGGGGGGACGGGGGAGGGGGACAUUGGGAUUUUGGGGUCCUUCAUUGGGAUUUUGGGGUCUUUCUUGUGUCUGUGAGAUCAUUUGUUGGAGUCUUGUGGUCAUUUGUUGCGUUCUUCGGGCUCUCCGUUGAGUUUUGGGGUCAUUCAUUGGGAUUUUGCGGUCAUUUGUUGGGGUUUUGGGGUCUUUCUUGUGUCGAUGGGGUCAUCCGUCGGAGUCUUGUGGUCAUUGUGUGGGUUCUUGGGGCUCUCGGUUGAUUUUGGGGGUCACUCAUUGGGAUUUUGGGGUCAUUUGUUGGGAUUUUGGGGUCAUUUGUUGGCUUUUGGGGACGUUCAUUGGGGUCCUGUGGUCGUUGUGUGGGUUUUUGGGGGCUCUCCGUUGAGUUUUGGGGUCUCUCAUUGGGAUUUUGGGGUCAGUUGUUGGGGUUUUGGGGACUUUCUUGUCCUCCGUUGGAGCCUUGUGGUUGCUGUGUGGGUUUUUGGGGUUCUCCGUUGAAUUUGGGGGUCAUUUAUUGGAUUUGGGGGUCAUUUAUUGGGUUUUGGGGAUGUUCCUUGGGGUUUUGUGGUCGUUGUGUGGGUUUUGGAGGCUCUCUGUUGAGAUUUGGGGUCAUUCAUUGGGAUUUUGGGGUCGUUCAUUGGGAUUUUGGGGCCAUUUGUUGGUGUUCUGUGGUCAUUGUGUGGGUUUUUGGGCUCUCAGUUGAGUCUUGGGGUCAUUCACUGGGAUUUUGGGGUCAUUUGUUGGGUUUUGGGGUCUUCCGUUGGGUUUUGGUUGAGGUCAGUUGGGGUUUUGGGGUGUUUUGUUGGGGUUUGGGGGUCUCCUGUUUGGGUUUUGGGGUCUUCUGUUGGGUUUUGGUUGAGGUUGGUUGGGGUUUUGGGGUCUUCCGUUGGGUUUUGGUUGAGGUCGGUUGGGGUUUCGGGGUCUCCGCUUUGGGUUUUGGGGUCACCUGUUGGGUUCUGGUUGAGGUCGGUUGGGGUUUUGGGGUCACUCCUUUGGGUUUUGGGGUCACCCAUUGGGUUCUGGUUGAGGUCAGUAGGGGCUUUGGGGUCUUCCAUUGGGUUUUGGUUGAGGUCGGUUGGCGUUUUGGGGUCUCCCCUUUGGGUUUUGGGGUCUUCCGUUGGGUUUUGGUCGAGGUCCAUUGGGGUUUUGGGGCAUUUUGUUGGGAUUUGGGGGUCUUCUGGGUUCUGAUUGACAUCUGUUGGGUUUUUGGGGUCUUCUUUUGGGUUUUUGGGGUCUUGUGUCGGGUUUUGAUUGACGUCGGUUGCGUUCUUGGGGUCUUCCGUUGGGUUUUGGUUGAGGUCGGUUGGGGUUUUGGGGUCUCCCCUUUGGGUUUUGGGGUCUUCCGUUGGGUUUUGGUUGAGGUCAGUUGGGGUUUGGGGGCAUUUCGUUGGGAUUUUGAGGUCUUCCAUUCGACUGUUGGGGUCUGUUCUUGGGGUUUUGGGGUCUCCUGCUGGGUUUUUGGGGUCUACUCUUGGGCUUUUGGGGUCUUUGUUGAGCCCCGUUGGGUUCUUGUUGACAUCGGUGGGGUUUUCGGGGUUCUCCGUGGGGUUUUUGGGGCAAAUUGUUGGGUUUUGGGGGCAAAUUGUUGGGUUUUCGGGGCCGUGCGUUGGGAUCUUGGGGUCCUUGGUUGCAUUUUGGGGGUCCCAGGGCCCCCUGUGGGGAUCCCUCAUCUCAUUGGUGGAAUCCCCGCUGCCCUCACCGUCCCACGUGACCCACACGUCCCCACCCCCAGCCCCACACGGCGCCCGGAGCCACGCCCCCUCGCUGCGCCAAUCCCACGAGUCCUCAUUGGCUGACGCCGGCCGUGCCAAUACCUGAUUGGACACCGCCGGCAUCACAGCUGCGACCCCAUUGGUCGGCCCCGUGCGGGCAGCGCUCCCGUUGGCCAACGCGGCGCCAUCUCUUCCCUCAUUGGCCAGGCCUGCCGGCACUUGUCGCUGAUUGGCCGCCGCCCUGUGGGCUGAAGCUCCGCCUUCCAUCACAGCCAAUGGGAUCCUGGGCUGUGGGAGAAAAGGAAUGGGGCAAGCUUAGGGGGCGGGGCAUGAGGAGUGGGCGUGGCUGGGGGCGUGGUCAAAGGGGGGCGUGGCCACACAAAGGGGGCGUGGCCACCCCAAGGGCUGGGGCGCACUAAGAGGUGUGCCCAUCACCGGGGGGGCGUGGCUACAGCAGUGGGCGUGGCCAAACGAAGGGGUGGGGCCUCAGAGAGGGGCGUGGCCACAUCAAAAGACACGUGGUCUCCAAGGGGGCGUGGCCACGUUGAUAAAGGGCGUGGCCUCGCAUUGGGGGGUGGGCACAGAAGGGGGCGUGGCCUCCCAACGGGGCGUGGCCACAGAAAAUGGGCGUGGCCUCCAGGGGGUGUGUGGGCAUGAUAAUAGGGCGGGGACUCAAAUGGGGGAGUGGCCUCCAAGAGGGGGCGUGGUCUCAGAGUUGGGGCGUGGCCUCAAAUGGGGCGUGGCCACACGAAGGGGGCGUGGUCUUCUGGGGGCGUGGGCACACCAAAGGGGCGUGGCCAACCGGGGGCGUGGCCACAUUGAAUGGCCGUGGCCUCUAAGGGGGCGGGGCCACAACAAGGUCCAAUGGGGUGUGGCCACAGCACAGGGGCGUGGUCUCAGAGGGGGGCGUGGUCACACCCGAGGGGCGUGGCCUCAAAUGGGGCGUGGCCACAACGAAAGGGGCGUGGCCACACGAAAGGGGCGUGGCCACACGAAGGGGGCGUGGUCUCAUGUGGGCGUGGGCACACCAAAGGGGUUUGGCCAACUGGGGGGCGUGGACACAUUGAAUGGGCGUGGCCUCAAAUGGGGCGUGGCCACAACGAAAGGGGCGUGGCCACAACGAAAGGGGCGUGGCCAACUGGGGGGCGUGGCCACAUCAAAUGGGUGCGGCUCCAAGGGGUGAGGCCACAUUUAAAAGGGCGUGGCCUCUCGGGGGCGUGGCCACAAUAAAGGGGCGUGGCCAACCA
RNAcentral lists this long non-coding RNA (3169 nucleotides) under Numida meleagris (helmeted guineafowl). RNAcentral's name for it is "lncRNA (ENSNMEG00000002352.1)". The record is from RNAcentral. Lineage: Eukaryota; Metazoa; Chordata; Aves; Galliformes; Numididae.